Salvelinus fontinalis (brook trout) is the source of this 1925-nucleotide long non-coding RNA. RefSeq lists it as uncharacterized. The record is from RefSeq and is a predicted model, not a curated record. The transcript has 3 exons. NCBI's taxonomy places the organism in Eukaryota, Metazoa, Chordata, Actinopteri, Salmoniformes, Salmonidae.
UUACCCGGUGGGGAGUCGCUCCUCGCAGCCGCACACGGAACGGGGCGGACUCCGUCCACCACAACGUUUCAUUUACUGAGACUUUCUAGUCACCGGCAUGACGGUGAAUGUACACUAGAUAGCGGUAUAUUACCGCGGGCCGCUUAGGCCGCACACUGUGACUCGCUUGUGGGCAGCAUAAAGCAGCAUGUUCGAUUGUGAGUCAAGAAUUCAACAUAGCAAGUUUGUAUGAAGGUCUGGUUAUUAAAUGGGUACAUAGUUCAAUAGUAAUAUACUCUAAAACUCCCGGUUUCCAAUUGUCCACAUGGCUGGGAGAACCUAUUCACAUUCCUGUUGGAACGUUCCACAAAUGUAUACCCACCUCAUCUGGGACUGCCUCCUGGAGGAAUUCAGGUGUGUGAAGGUUACCUGUGUCCUGCGUAACUUCAUGAGGAUGGACACGAGGACCAGGAGGGGAUCUGCAGCUCGCCGCCGUGUCCCAGAGGAGAAGUCUGCUGCUCUGCAGGAUGUUUCAAGGAUGGGGUCCAACAACGCAGCAAGAGAGGCAAUCCGUGUGUGUGAGAUCUUCACCUCCUACUUCUUCAAAGAGGGUGCUGUUCCCUGGCAACACCAUAGACUACACUAUGCACAACCAAAGGCUCUUUUAAGAGGGUGCUGUUCCCUGGCAACACCAUAGACUACACUAUGCACAAUCAAAGGCUCUUUUAAGAGCCAUCCACAUUGCAAUAAGAGUAUUCUUCCAUUUACUUAGCUAUGUGAACUGCAGUUAUUCAAUUCCCAGUUUCUCUCCCUUUGAUGUCUACUUCUCAGGUGAGGGUGCUGUUUAGGUAAGGGUGUGAUGUCUGCAAAAACAAAACAGGCUACUUUUAAGUCACCCAUUUUGAAAAACUGUAGAACAAUUAGACACCCUAUAACCCACACCUACACACUCAUGUAUCAAUCUGAUUGAUAUAUUGUGUUGUGCAGUAAGCAGCCUCAGGUGUAUAACUGUGGCUCCUUCCACCUUCAAAGAAUAGACAAGAUGGCCAACCAUGGAGAAUAGUAAGACACUUCAUUAUUUCUAUAACUACACUAUAUUGUUUGUCCUCGUGUGACCGUUCAUGUUUUUCAGCAUAAAGUACUCUGCAGCCACUUAGUGUGGUGAACACCAGGUGAGGCCACACACAGAUUCCUGUUGAACACUGUCUUUAACCACCUUAUUUUCUCAAUAACAGUCUCUCUCCUUCACUUCAUCCCUCUCUCUUCUCCCUAAAUGCUCUAGGUUAUAUCAGCUGUUUCGGUGAACCCCUCCUGCAUCUGAACUGGCUACAUAGAGGGCACAGCAUGAUCAGAGAUAUGUUUUGAUGUGAGAGAGGAUGCCAACCCCCAGUCCUAUCAUCGCCACCUCACCCGCUCUGAAGAUAACCUUCGGGCCGACUAGAGACACUUAUGUAAUUGUGAUUGUAACAGUUUAACUUUAGUCCGUCCCCUCGCCCCAACCAGGGCGCGAACCAGGGACCCUCUGCACACGUCAACAACAGUCACCCACGAAGCAUCGUUACCCAUCGCUCCACAAAAGCAGCGGCCCUUGCAGAGCAAGGGGAACCACUACUUCAAGGUCUCAGAGCAAGUGACGUCACCGAUCGAAAGGCUAUUAGCGCGCACCACCGCUAACUAGAUAGCCAUUUCACAUCGGUUACAUGAUGAACUGAGAGAAUAUUUGUGUUGAUUCAAUUAUGCUGCCUUCUCUGCUCCAAUGUUCUUACCUCUUUCCCUUUUACACCUCUCGUCGCCACCUCUCUCGUCCUCUGUUUUUAUAACGUACGACAGAUGUGCAUCGUAGUACAGAUUGAACUUGUAUUCAUAAUAUUACAAUUAUAAUAUUUAUAAUGCAUGUUUUUAACACCUGGAUAAUGAACUUUCAAUAAAGCGUUUCACAUUCUCUA